GGGAAUAUUGCACAAUGGGCGAAAGCCUGAUGCAGCAACGCCGCGUGAAGGAAGAAGGCCUUCGGGUCGUAAACUUCUGUCCUUGGGGAAGAAGAACUGACGGUACCCAAGGAGGAAGCCCCGGCUAACUACGUGCCAGCAGCCGCGGUAAUACGUAGGGGGCAAGCGUUAUCCGGAAUUAUUGGGCGUAAAGAGUACGUAGGUGGCAACCUAAGCGCAGGGUUUAAGGCAAUGGCUCAACCAUUGUUCGCCCUGCGAACUGGGAUGCUUGAGUGCAGGAGAGGAAAGCGGAAUUCCUAGUGUAGCGGUGAAAUGCGUAGAUAUUAGGAGGAACACCAGUGGCGAAGGCGGCUUUCUGGACUGUAACUGACACUGAGGUACGAAAGCGUGGGGAGCAAACAAG
RNAcentral lists this ribosomal RNA (403 nucleotides) under uncultured bacterium. RNAcentral's name for it is "bacterial SSU rRNA". It matches the Rfam family "Bacterial small subunit ribosomal RNA", at positions 357 to 776 of the family's 1533-position model. The record is from RNAcentral.